GUUCCAAGGAGCCACUCAUCAUUGGCCAUCCCAAAGGGAGGUACCCUAAAGGGAGAAAGUUUUUUUGGGAGAUGCUUUGGUACCUUCCUGUGGUGUGGCAGACUAGUUUUCAGCUCCAGCUUAUCACUGAAGCAAAGGUGGGUUUUCACCUCUAACUUAUUAUUUCUGUGAUGAAAAAUUGGUGCCCUGUGCACAAGGGCCUGGCAAUAAGCAACCCACCAAGGAGGGAGGGUAGGGAAGCAGGUGAUGGUUCAUAAAUAGUUACCAAGCAAGGUAGAAAAAGAGAGAAAAAUGAAGAAGACAGACACUUCCACUACUGAAUUCAUCCUGGUCUCUAAAAUAAAACUGUUCACAUAAUGG
Chiroxiphia lanceolata (lance-tailed manakin) is the source of this 360-nucleotide long non-coding RNA. RefSeq lists it as uncharacterized. Lineage: Eukaryota; Metazoa; Chordata; Aves; Passeriformes; Pipridae. The transcript has 2 exons. The record is from RefSeq and is a predicted model, not a curated record.